AUUGAACGCUAGCGGGAUGCCUUACACAUGCAAGUCGAACGGCAGCAUAGGUGCUUGCACCUGAUGGCGAGUGGCGAACGGGUGAGUAAUACAUCGGAACGUGCCCAGUCGUGGGGGAUAACGUAGCGAAAGUUACGCUAAUACCGCAUACGAUCUACGGAUGAAAGCGGGGGACCGUAAGGCCUCGCGCGAUUGGAGCGGCCGAUGUCAGAUUAGGUAGUUGGUGGGGUAAAGGCCCACCAAGCCAACGAUCUGUAGCUGGUCUGAGAGGACGACCAGCCACACUGGGACUGAGACACGGCCCAGACUCCUACGGGAGGCAGCAGUGGGGAAUUUUGGACAAUGGGCGCAAGCCUGAUCCAGCCAUUCCGCGUGCAGGAUAAAGGCCUUCGGGUUGUAAACUGCUUUUGUACGGAACGAAAAGCUCUGGGUUAAUACCCCGGGGUCAUGACGGUACCGUAAGAAUAAGCACCGGCUAACUACGUGCCAGCCGCCGCCGUAA
RNAcentral lists this ribosomal RNA (502 nucleotides) under uncultured bacterium. RNAcentral's name for it is "partial 16S ribosomal RNA". It matches the Rfam family "Bacterial small subunit ribosomal RNA", at positions 30 to 523 of the family's 1533-position model. The record is from RNAcentral.